RNAcentral lists this microRNA (22 nucleotides) under Ornithorhynchus anatinus (platypus). RNAcentral's name for it is "oan-miR-1422l". Lineage: Eukaryota; Metazoa; Chordata; Mammalia; Monotremata; Ornithorhynchidae. The record is from miRBase by way of RNAcentral.
UUUCAUUCAAGCCGUCUUUUCU